Long non-coding RNA from Eriocheir sinensis (Chinese mitten crab), 645 nucleotides. RefSeq lists it as uncharacterized. Lineage: Eukaryota; Metazoa; Arthropoda; Malacostraca; Decapoda; Varunidae. The record is from RefSeq and is a predicted model, not a curated record. The transcript has 4 exons.
UCACCUGAAAGUUGCGUUACCUUCCGGCACCCAAGACCACGCCCGAGCCCAAGCCCCGACCGCCAGCCCGCCCCAAGGCUCCCUCCAUGGCCUCCUGCAGGGCUUGAGGUGGUCAGGCUCCCCACAGUGCUGCCCCUCGCAGUGCCAGGGCAGUGCCACACCUGUAAGCUGCGGCGCCAUGCCCGGUCUGAGGGCGCCGCUGGACUGUUACUGCCGCUAACACAUGCUGGACUACUACUACUACUACUACUACUACUACUACUAUCAGUGAGCUACUCCUACCAUAUCCAGCCAUGCCAUAACACCACCACCACUGCAGCAGAGAUGGAUUUUGAAAGCCCUCAUGUGGAGAAGGAGUUUCCGGGCCUGUACGCCUCCGAGUCCUCCAGACGCAGCGACAGCGAUUACUAAAGAAUUCUGAGCACCGAUUCUGUAGCGGAAAGUGUUGGCGUGUGUCAUUGCUUGCCGCGCUAAUAUGCAUGACGCUCUCGUAAAUUAGGACAGAGGGAGACAGCGGGCAUGAACGGGGGGGCAAGAAGGAGCUGUUGAGAAGCAAAAAGAAGGAGCGGAACGACGAGAAGAAAGACAAGGGUUACGCAGCGCUUGGAGAAGACAGCUCGCCAGACGACACGGAGGGCCAGGACA